RNAcentral lists this ribosomal RNA (253 nucleotides) under uncultured prokaryote. Its description in RNAcentral is "partial 16S ribosomal RNA". It matches the Rfam family "Bacterial small subunit ribosomal RNA", at positions 525 to 777 of the family's 1533-position model. The record is from RNAcentral.
ACGAAGGUCCCAAGCGUUAUCCGGAUUUAUUGGGUUUAAAGGGUGCGUAGGCGGGUUAUUAAGUCAGUGGUGAAAGCUCCCAGCUCAACUGGGAAACUGCCAUUGAUACUGAUAGUCUUGAGUAUGAUUGAAGUGGGCGGAAUGUGUCAUGUAGCGGUGAAAUGCUUAGAUAUGACACAGAACACCGAUUGCGAAGGCAGCUCACUAAGCCAUAACUGACGCUGAUGCACGAAAGCGUGGGGAGCAAACAGGA